Molecule: long non-coding RNA, 11984 nt
Filed under: Brassica rapa (field mustard)
Lineage: Eukaryota; Viridiplantae; Streptophyta; Magnoliopsida; Brassicales; Brassicaceae
Description: long non-coding RNA (BRAP_LNC004738)
Source: RNAcentral
CAGAUUUUUUUGAUCAAUAGUUGUAUUUUUUAAAUAUAAUUUUCAAAAAUUCUAUUUUAGGAAAGUUUUCAUUUUUUUCAUUGAAAUAUUGUAGAUUUGGGGUUGUGGUUUAGAAAUUAGGAUAUCAAAAUUUUUGUUGAUAGAUGAGUAUUCUUUUAAAUUUUUUGAUCAAUAGUUGUAUUUUUUAAUAUAAUUUUCAAAAAUUCUAUUUUAGGAAAGUUUUUUUUUUUUCAUAGAAAUAUUGUAGAUUUGGGGUGUGGUUUAGAAAUUAGGAUAACAAUAAUUUUGUUGAUAGAUGAGUAUUCUUUUAAAUUUUUGAUCAAUAGUUGUAUUUUUUAAAUAUAAUUUCAAAAAUUCUAUUUUAGGAAAGUUUUCAUUUUUUCAUAGAAAUAUUGUAGAUUUGGGGUUGUGAUUUAGAAAUUAGGAUAACAAUAAUUUUUGUUGAUAGAUGAGUAUUCUUUUAGAUUUUUUUGAUCAAUAGUUGUAUUUUUUAAAUAUAAUUUUCAAAAAUUCUAUUUUAGGAAAGUUUUCAUUUUUUCAUAGAAAUAUUGUAGAUUUGGGGUUGUGGUUUAGAAAUUAGGAUAACAAUAAUUUUUGUUGAUAGAUGAGUAUUCUUUUAAAUUUUUUUGAUCAAUAGUUGUAUUUUUUAAAUAUAAUUUUCAAAAUUCUAUUUUAGGAAAGUUUUCAUUUUUCAUAGAAAUAUUGUAGAUUUGGGGUUGUGAUUUAGAAAUUAGGAUAACAAUAAUUUUUGUUGAUAGAUGAGUAUUCUUUUAGAUUUUUUGAUCAAUAGUUGUAUUUUUAAAUAUAAUUUUCAAAAAUUCUAUUUUAGGAAAGUUUUCAUUUUUCAAUAAAUAUUGUAGAUUUGGGGUUGUGAUUUAGAAAUUAGGAUAACAAUAAUUUUUGUUGAUAGAUGAGUAUUCUUUUAAAUUUUUUGAUCAAUAGUUGUAUUUUUAAAUAUAAUUUUCAAAAAUUCUAUUUUAGGAAAGUUUUCAUUUUUUCAUAGAAAUAUUGUAGAUUUGGGUUGUGAUUUAGAAAUUAGGAUAACAAUAAUUUUUGUUGAUAGAUGAGUAUUUUAGGAUAACAAUAAUUUUUGUUGAUAGAUGAGUAUUAUUUUCAGAUUUUUUUGAUCAAUAGUUGUAUUUUUUAAAUAUAAUUCUCAAAAAUUCUAUUUUAGGAAAGUUUUCAUUUUUCAUAGAAAUAUUGUAGAUUUGGGGUUGUGGUUUAGAAAUUAGGAUAACAAUAAUUUUUGUUGAUAGAUGAGUAUUCUUUUAGAUUUUUUUGAUCAAUAGUGUAUUUUUUAAAUAUAAUUUUCAAAAAUUCUAUUUUAGGAAAGUUUUCAUUUUUUCAUAGAAAUAUGUAGAUUUGGGGUUGUGAUUUAGAAAUUAGGAUAACAAUAAUUUUUGUUGAUAGAUGAGUAUUAUUUCAGAUUUUUUUGAUCAAUAGUUGUAUUUUUUAAAUAUAAUUUUCAAAAAUUCUAUUUUAGGAAAGUUUUCAUUUUUUUCAUAGAAAUAUUGUAGAUUUGGGGUUGUGGUUUAGAAAUUAGGAUAACAAUAAUUUUUGUUGAUAGAUGAGUAUUCUUUUAAAUUUUUUUGAUCAGUAGUUGUAUUUUUUAAAUAUAAUUUUCAAAAAUUCUAUUUUAGGAAAGUUUUCAUUUUUCCAUAGAAAAAUUGUAGAUUUGGGGUUGUGAUUUAGAAAUUAUGAUAAGAAUAAUUUUUGUUGAUAGAUGAGUAUUAUUUCAGAUUUUUUUGAUCAAUAGUUGUAUUUUUUAAAUAUAAUUUUCAAAAAUUCUAUUUUAGGAAAGUUUUCAUUUUUUCAUAGAAUAUUGUAGAUUUGGGGUUGUGGUUUAGAAAUUAGGAUAACAAUAUUUUUGUUGAUAGAUGAGUAUUCUUUUAGAUUUUUUUGAUCAAUAGUUUUAUUUUUUUAAAUUUAAAUAUAAUUCAAAAUUUCUAUUUUAGAAAGUUUUCAUUUUUUUUCAUAGAAAUAUUGUAGAUUUGGGGUUUUGUAUUUAGAAAUUAGGAUAACAAUAAUUUUUGUUGAUAGAUGAGUAUUCUUUCAGAUUUUUUUGAUCAAUAGUUGUAUUUUUUAAUAUAAUUUUCAAAAUUUCUAUUUUAGGAAAGUUUUCAUUUUUUCAUAGAAAUAUUGUAGAUUUGGGGUUGUGGUUUAGAAAUUAGGAUAACAAUAAUUUUUGUUGAUAGAUGAGUAUUCUUUUAAAUUUUUUUGAUCAAUAGUUGUAUUUUUUAAAUAUAAUUUUCAAAAAUUCUAUUUUAGAAAAGUUUUCAUUUUUCAUAGAAAUAUUGUAGAUUUGGGGUUUUGAUUUAGAAAUUAGGAUAACAAUAAUUUUGUUGAUAGAUGAGUAUUAUUUCAGAUUUUUUUGAUCAAUAGUUGUAUUUUUUAAAUAUAAUUUCAAAAAUUCUAUUUUAGGAAAGUUUUCAUUUUUUCAUAGAAAUAUUGUAGAUUUGGGGUUGUGGUUUAGAAAUUAGGAUAACAAUAAUUUUUGUUGAUAGAUGAGUAUUCUUUUAAAUUUUUUUGAUCAAUAGUUGUAUUUUUUAAUAUAAUUUCAAAAAUUCUAUUUUAGGAAAGUUUUCAUUUUUUUCAUCGAAAUAUUGUAGAUUUGGGGUUGUGAUUUAGAAAUUAGGAUAACAAUAAUUUUUGUUGAUAGAUGAGUAUUAUUUCAGAUUUUUUUGAUCAAUAGUUGUAUUUUUUAAUAUAAUUUUCAAAAUUCUAUUUUAGGAAAGUUUUCAUUUUUUCAUAGAAAUAAAUUGUAGAUUUGGGUUGUGGUUUAGAAUUAGGAUAACAAUAAUUUUUGUUGAUAGAUGAGUAUUCUUUUAAAUUUUUUUGAUCAAUAGUUGUAUUUUUUAAAUAUAUUUUCAAAAAUUCUAUUUUAGGAAAUUUUUCAUUUUUUCAUAGAAAUAUUGUAGAUUUGGGGUUGUGAUUUAGAAAUUAGGAUAACAAUAAUUUUUGUUGAUAGAUGAGUAUUAUUUCAGAUUUUUUGAUCAAUAGUUUGUAUUUUUUAAUAUAAUUUUCAAAAAUUCUAUUUUAGGAAAGUUUUCAUUUUUUCAUAGAAAUAUUGUAGAUUUGGGGUUGUGUUUAGAAAUUAGGAUAACAAUAAUUUUUGUUGAUAGAUGAGUAUUCUUUUAAAUUUUUUUGAUCAAUAGUUGUAUUUUUUAAAUAUAAUUUUCAAAAUUUCUAUUUUAGGAAAGUUUUCAUUUUUUUCAUAGAAAUAUUGUAGAUUUGGGGUUGUGAUUUAGAAUUAGGAUACAAUAAUUUUUGUUGAUAGAUGAGUAUUAUUUCAGAUUUUUUGGAUCAAUAGUUGUAUUUUUUAAAUAUAAUUUUCAAAAUUCUAUUUUAGGAAAGUUUUCAUUUUUUCAUAGAAUAUUGUAGAUUUGGGGUUGUGAUUUAGAAAUUAGGAUAACAAUAAUUUUUGUUGAUAGAUGAGUAUUCUUUUAAUUUUUUUGAUCAAUAGUUGUAUUUUUUAAAUAUAAUUUUCAAAAAAUAUAAUUUCUCAAAAAUUCUAUUUUAGGAAAGUUUUCAUUUUUUCAUAGAAAUAUUGUAGAUUUGGGGUUGUGGUUUAGAAAUUAGGAUAACAAUAAUUUUUGUUGAUAGAUGAGUAUUCUUUUAAUUUUUUUGAUCAAUGUUGUAUUUAAAUAUAUUUUCAAAAAUUCUAUUUUAGGAAAGUUUUCAUUUUUUCAUAGAAAUAUUGUAGAUUUGGGGUUGUGAUUUAGAAAUUAGGAUAACAAUAAUUUUUGUUGAUAGAUGAGUAUUAUUUCAGAUUUUUUUGAUCAAUAGUUGUAUUUUUUAAAUAUAAUUUUCAAAAAUUCUAUUUUAGGAAAGUUUUCAUUUUUUCAUAGAAAUAUUGUAGAUUUGGGGUUGUGAUUUAGAAAUUAGGAUAACAAUAAUUUUUGUUGAUAGAUGAGUAUUAUUUUAGAUUUUUUGAUCAAUAGUUGUAUUUUUUAAAUAUAAUUUUCAAAAAUUCUAUUUUAGGAAAGUUUUCAUUUUUUCAUAGAAAUAUUGUAGAUUUGGGGUUGUGAUUUAGAAAUUAGGAUAACAAUAUUUUUGUUGAUAGAUGAGUAUUCUUUUAAUUUUUUGAUCAAUAGUUGUAUUUUUUAAAUAAUUUCAAAAAUUCUAUUUUAGGAAAGUUUUCAUUUUUUUCAUUGAAAUAUUGUAGAUUUGGGGUUGUUGUUUAGAAAUUAGGAUAACAAUAUUUUUGUUGAUAGAUGAGUAUUCUUUUAAAUUUUUGAUCUAUAGUUGUAUUUUUUAAAUAUAAUUUUCAAAAAUUCUAUUUUAGGAAAGUUUUCGUUUUUUCAUAGAAAUAUUGUAGAUUGGGGGUUGGUUUUAGAAAUUAGGAUAACAAUUUUUGUUGAUAGAUGACUAUUCUUUUAAAUUUUUUUGAUCUGUAGUUGUAUUUUUUAAAUAUAAUUUUUAAAAAUUCUAUUUUAGGAACGUUUUCAUUUUUUCAUAGAAAUAUUGUAGAUUUUGGGUUGUGAUUUAGAAAUUUUGAUAACAAUAAUUUUUGUUGAUAGAUGAGUAUUAUUUCAGAUUUUUUUGAUCAAUAGUUGUAUUUUUUAAAUAUAUUUCUCAAAAAUUCUAUUUUAGGAAAGUUUUCAUUUUUUCAUAGAAAUAUUGUAGAUUUGGGGUUGUGGUUUAGAAAUUAGGAUAACAAUAAUUUUUGUUGAUAGAUGAGUAUUCUUUUAAAUUUUUUUGAUCAGUAGUUGUAUUUUUUAAAUAUAAUUUUCAAAAAUUCUAUUUUAGGAAAGUUUUCAUUUUUUCAUAGAAAUAUUGUAGAUUUGGGGUUGUGAUUUAGAAAUUAUGAUAAGAAUAAUUUGUUGAUAGAUGAGUAUUCUUUUAAUUUUUUUGAUCAAUAGUUGUAUUUUUAAAUAUAAUUUUCAAAAAUUCUAUUUUAGGAAAGUUUUCAUUUUUCAUAGAAAUAUUGUAGAUUUGGGGUUGUGAUUUAGAAAUUAGGAUAACAAUAAUUUUGUUGAUAUAUGAGUAUUCUUUUAAAUUUUUUUGAUCAGUAUUUGUAUUUUUUAAAUAUAAUUUCAAAAAUUCUAUUUUAGGAAAGUUUUCAUUUUUUUUCAUAGAAAUAUUGUAGAUUUGGGGUUGUAAUCUUGAAAUUAGGAUAACAAUAAUUUUGUUGAUAGAUGAGUAUUCUUUUAAAUUUUUUUGAUCAAUAGUUGUAUUUUUUAAAUAUAAUUUUCAAAAAUUCUAUUUUAGGAAAGUUUUCAUUUUUUCAUAGAAAUAUUGUAGAUUUGGGGUUGUGGUUUAGAAAUUAGGAUAACAAUAAUUUUUGUUGAUAGAUGAGUAUUCUUUUAAAUUUUUUGAUCAUAGUUGUAUUUUUUAAAUAUAAUUUUCAAAAAUUCUAUUUUAGGAAAGUUUUCAUUUUUUCAUAGAAAUAUUGUUUUGGGGUUGUGAUUUAGAAAUUAGGAUAACAAUAAUUUUUGUUGAUAGAUGAGUAUUAUUUCAGAUUUUUUUGAUCAAUAGUUGUAGUUUUUAAAUAUAAUUUCAAAAUUCUAUUUUAGGAAAGUUUUCAUUUUUUCAUUGAAAUAUUGUAGAUUUGAGGGUUGUGGUUUAUAAUUAGGAUAUCAAUAAUUUUUUGUUGAUAGAUGAGUAUUCUUUUAAAUUUUUUUGAUCUAUAGAUGUAUUUUUUAAAAUAAAUUUUCAAAAAUUCUAUUUUAGGAAAGUUUUCAUUUUUUCAUAGAAAUAUUGUAGAUUUGGGGUUGUGGUUUAGAAAUUAGGAUAACAAUAAUUUUUGUUGAUAGAUGAGUAUUCUUUUAAAUUUUUGAUCUGUAGUUGUAUUUUUUAAAUAUAAUUUUAAAAAUUCUAUUUUAGGAAAGUUUUCAUUUUUUCAUAGAAAUAUUGUAGAUUUGGGUUGUGAUUUAGAAAUUGAUAACAAUAAUUUUUGUUGAUAGAUGAGUAUUAUUUUAGAUUUUUUGAUCAAUAGUUGUAUUUUUAAAUAUAUUUCUCAAAAAUUCUAUUUUAGGAAAGUUUUCAUUUUUUCAUAGAAAUAUUGUAGAUUUGGGGUUGUGGUUUAGAAAUUAGGAUAACAAUAAUUUUUGUUGAUAGAUGAGUAUUCUUUUAAAUUUUUUUGAUCAGUAGUUGUAUUUUUUAAAUAUAAUUUUCAAAAAUUCUAUUUUAGGAAAGUUUUCAUUUUUUCAUAGAAAUAUUGUAGAUUUGGGGUUGUGAUUUAGAAAUUAUGAUAAGAAUAAUUUUUGUUGAUAGAUGAGUAUUCUUUUAAAUUUUUUUGAUCAAUAGUUGUAUUUUUAAAUAUAAUUUUCAAAAAUUCUAUUUUAGGAAAGUUUUCAUUUUUCCAUAGAAAUAAUGUAGAUUUGAGGUUGUGAUUUAGAAAUUAGGAUAACAAUAAUUUUUGUUGAUAUAUGAGUAUUCUUUUAAAUUUUUUUGAUCAGUAUUUGUAUUUUUUAAAUAUAAUUUUCAAAAAUUCUAUUUUACGAAAGUUUUCAUUUUUUUUCAUAGAAAUAUUGUAGAUUUGGGGUUGUAAUCUAGAAAUUAGGAUAACAAUAAUCUUUGUUGAUAGAUGAGUAUUCUUUUAAAUUUUUUUGAUCAAUAGUUGUAUUUUUUAAAUAUAAUUUUCAAAAAUUCUAUUUUAGGAAAGUUUUCAUUUUUUCAUAGAAAUAUUGUAGAUUUGGGGUUGUGGUUUAGAAAUUAGGAUAACAAUAAUUUUUGUUGAUAGAUGAGUAUUCUUUUAAAUUUUUUUGAUCAAUAGUUGUAUUUUUUAAAUAUAAUUUUCAAAAAUUCUAUUUUAGGAAAGUUUUCAUUUUUUCAUAGAAAUAUUGUAGAUUUGGGGUUGUGAUUUAGAAAUUAGGAUAACAAUAAUUUUUGUUGAUAGAUGAGUAUUAUUUCAGAUUUUUUUGAUCAAUAGUUGUAGUUUUUAAAUAUAAUUUUCAAAAAUUCUAUUUUAGGAAAGUUUUCAUUUUUUCAUUGAAAUAUUGUAGAUUUGGGGUUGUGGUUUAGAAAUUAGGAUAACAAUAAUUUUUGUUGAUAGAUGAGUAUUCUUUCAGAUUUUUUUGAUCAAUAGUUGUAUUUUUUAAAUAUAAUUUUCAAAAAUUCUAUUUUAGGAAAGUUUUCAUUUUUCCAUAGAAAUAAUGUAGAUUUGAGGUUGUGAUUUAGAAAUUAGGAUAACAAUAAUUUUUGUUGAUAUAUGAGUAUUCUUUUAAAUUUUUUUGAUCAGUAUUUGUAUUUUUUAAAUAUAAUUUUCAAAAAUUCUAUUUUAGGAAAGUUUUCAUUUUUUUUCAUAGAAAUAUUGUAGAUUUGGGGUUGUGAUUUAGAAAUUUUGAUAACAAUAAUUUUUGUCGAUUGAUGAGUAUUCUUUUAAAUUUUUUUGAUCUAUAGUUGUAUUUUUUAAAUAUAAUUUUCAAAAAUUCUAUUUUAGGAAAGUUUUCAUUUUUUCAUAGAAAUAUUGUAGAUUUGGGGUUGUGAUUUAGAAAUUAGGAUAACAAUAAUUUUUGUUGAUAGAUGAGUAUUCUUUUAAAUUUUUUUGAUCAGUAGUUGUAUUUUUCAAAUAUAAUUUUCAAAAAUUCUGUUUUAGGAAAGUUUUCAUUUUUUCAUAGAAAUAUUGUAGAUUUGGGGUUGUGAUUUAGAAAUUAUGAUAAGAAUAAUUUUUGUUGAUAGAUGAGUAUUAUUUCAGAUUUUUUUGAUCAAUAGUUGUAUUUUUUAAAUAUAAUUUUCAAAAAUUCUAUUUUAGGAAAGUUUUCAUUUUUUCAUAGAAAUAUUGUAGAUUUGGGGUUAUGAUUUAGAAAUUAGGAUAACAAUAAUUUUUGUUGAUAGAUGAGUAUUCUUUUAAACUUUUUUGAUCAAUAGUUGUAUUUUUUAAAUAUAAUUUUCAAAAAUUCUAUUUUAGGAAAGUUUUCAUUUUUUUCAUUGAAAUAUUGUAGAUUUGGGGUUGUGGUUUAUAAAUGAGUCGAUUACCAUUUAUGACACUUUUUUAUCUUUUUAACACUUUAAGACAACAAUCCGCUGGAGGGACACUUUCUUGAAUCUGAGAGCUGUUGGACAGAAAUGCCAUUGCUCAGAAGAAACGGAAGAUGCGCUUAUGUUUGGUAAGUAUAAUUGUAACUUUCUUUUCUAUUUCUCUAAUGUAUUCAUUUACUAUUUCAAAUUCUAAAAAUAAUAAAACAAAAAUAAUUAUCACAUUAAAUUAUGUAUAAAAUUCUAUCUUUUUAACAUCCAUUUUCAUAUAUAUAUACUAAUAUAUAUUAAAAAAAAGUAUGGAAUGGAUAUCAUAGUGUGGAUAAUAUAGUUAUAAAUUAAUUGUGACAUGGACACAAACCAUAUUUAUUCAUACACUAUUUCAGUUUCUGAUUAAAUAAAUAUAUAAUAACCAUAUAAAAACAUGUUUCUUUUUUCUUAUUAUUUUGAUAUCCAAAUAUAUAUUUUUUAUAUUUUAAUGUCUAACUAAAUUGCUAAAUUAUAAUUUAUUGGACAUAUUUUUUGGAUGGACACAAUAUUUUUUUUUUUUUACAAAAUUCUUUUUUGUUUUCUAUUUUUUUAUUUAAAGAUGUAUAUGACCAAAAAAAUUAGUAUAACAAAGUGAUAUAUAUUUGUUAUUUAAUGAUAAUUAUUUUAUUGUUUUAUCUAAUUUUUAUAUAUAUUUUAUAUUAUAACUUAUAAGAAUGUAUGGAUAUGGAUAUAAAAGUGUGUACGUAAGAUAUGUGGACAUGGAUAUAAAUGUGUAAAAGAGAAUAUCUAGACAUAUUAGUAUGACACACAAGUUGUAUCCACAUCAAAGUUUCUGAAAGAGAUCAUGUUAAAUGAUGUCCAUUAUCGAUUUUUGUGAGCUAGUAGGUGUGGACAUGGAUUAGGAUAUUUUAUAUGGACAUUGUAAUCAUGAAGAACAUAAUUGCAUAAAACAUGUCUGUGGUGUAUACUUGAAAAUUUUGAUACUAAUUAGAAUACAAAUCUGCACAUUUAAAAUUGAGGGUGAAAACAAAUACUUACAUAAAUAUAAGGACCAAAUAUGUAAAUUCAUCAUUCUUAUUGCAGAUCUAAUCGAGCUUUCACCCAUGGUGAUACCAAGCUCAAACCACUGCAGCUUCACCAUAUAAUGGAUGAGACUUCGGAAAUGAGUUGAGCAAGGCGAGGAGUCAACUUGAGCAGCAGAUCCGUGGUUUGGGGGAGGAUUUCGACGAGCUCGAACCCCAUGGCUUCACUGAGCCACCGAGCUUACCGAUGCGAUGUUGAGCUCGAAAUCCAUGUUGAGGCGUUUUCUCUUUCUUUUUUUUUAUCCGUGGAUUCUGUCAUGAUUCGUAAUAAAAGAUAGAAAAACAGACAAAAAUAGAGAUAGACAAAAGGAAUAAGAAAAAGUUGAGAAGAAGGGACAAGCCAAGAGGAUAAGAAUUAAUUGUUUCUUCGAUUUGAUGAAGGAGAGUGUAUCGUGAUUAUUGGAUUUGAGUAUGCGUUAUGAAAAUAAAUAAAAAGAAAAAAAUAGAGUUUAAUAAAAGUGAAUCUGAACUUGAAUUUUGAAAUUCUAAAAUAAAUAAAUUUUUGAAUGAUUUAAUAAAAAGACUUUUGGAUUUAGUUAUAUUUCUAGUUAUUGUUAGAUAAGGUUGAGGGCAUCUAAGACAUUGCACAUAGAAAUUGUGUGCCUCAAGCAACAAGUGUCUAAAUAUGCAAUUCCAAAGACAUAAUGUGUCCUAGAAUGUAAAAAAAUCUUUAUAAAUUAGGAUAUCAAUAAUUUUUGAUGAUAGAUGAGUAUUCUUUUAAAUUUUUUUGAUCUAUAGAUGUAUUUUUAAAAUAUAAUUUUCGAAAAUUCUAUUUGAGGAAAGUUUUCGUUUUUUCAUAGAAAUAUUGUAGAUUUGGGGUUGUGGUUUAGAAAUUAAGAUAACAAUAAUUUUUGUUGAUAGAUGACUAUUCUUUUAAAUUUUUUUGAUCUGUAGUUGUAUUUUUUAAAUAUAAUUUUCAAAAAUUCUAUUUUAGGAAAUUUUCAUUUUUCAUAGAAAUAUUGUAGAUUUGGGUUGUGAUUUAGAAAUUUGAUAACAAUAAUUUUGUUGAUAGAGAUAUUAUUUUUCAGAUUUUUUGAUCAAUAGUUGUAUUUUUUAAAUAUAAAUCUCAAAAAUUCUAUUUUAGGAAAGUUUUCAUUUUUUCAUAGAAAAUUGUAGAUUUGGGGUGUGGUUUAGAAAAUUAGGAUAACAAUAAUUUUUGUUGAUAGAUGAGUAUUCUUUUAAAUUUUUUUGAUCAGUAGUUGUAUUUUUUAAAUAUAAUUUUCAAAAAUUCUAUUUUAGGAAAGUUUUCAUUUUUUCAUAGAAAUAUUGUAGAUUUGGGGUUGUGAUUUAGAAAUUAUGAUAAGAAUAAUUUUUGUUGAUAGAUGAGUAUUCUUUUAAAUUUUUUUGAUCAAUAGUUGUAUUUUUUAAAUAUAAUUUUCAAAAAUUCUAUUUUAGGAAAGUUUUCAUUUUUCCAUAGAAAUAAUGUAGAUUUGAGGUUGUGAUUUAGAAAUUAGGAUAACAAUAAUUUUUGUUGAUAUAUGAGUAUUCUUUUAAAUUUUUUUGAUCAGUAUUUGUAUUUUUUAAAUAUAAUUUUCAAAAAUUCUAUUUUACGAAAGUUUUCAUUUUUUUUCAUAGAAAUAUUGUAGAUUUGGGUUGUAUUAGAAAUAGGAUAACAAUAAUUUUGUUGAUAGAUGAGUAUUCUUUUAAAUUUUUUUGAUCAAUAGUUGUAUUUUUUAAAUAUAAUUUUCAAAAAUUCUAUUUAGGAAAAGUUUCAUUUUUUCAUAGAAAUAUUGUAGAUUUGGGGUGUGGUUUAGAAAUUAGAUAACAAUAAUUUUUUGUUGAUAGAUGAGUAUUCUUUUAAAUUUUUUGAUCAAUAGUUGUAUUUUUAAAAUAUAAUUUUCAAAAAUUCUAUUUUAGGAAAGUUUUCAUUUUUUCAUAGAAUAAUUGUAGAUAUUGGGGUUGUGAUUUAGAAAUUAGGAUAACAAUAAUUUUUGUUGAUAGAUGAGUAUUCUUUCAGAUUUUUUUGAUCAAUAGUUGAAGUUUUUAAAUAUAAUUUUCAAAAAUUCUAUUUUAGGAAAGUUUUCAUUUUUUCAUUGAAAUAUUGUAGAUUUGGUUGUGGUUUAGAAAUUAGGAUAACAAUAAUUUUUGUUGAUAGAUGAGUAUUCUUUUAAAUUUUUUUGAUCAAUUGUUGUAUUUUUUAAAUAUAAUUUUCAAAAAAUUCUAUUUUAGGAAGUUUUCGUUUUUUCAUCGAAAUAUGUAGAUUUGGGGUUGUGAUUUAGAAAUUAGGAUAACAAUAAUUUUUGUUAAUAGAUGAGUAUUAUUUCCAGAUUUUUUUAUCAAUAGUUGUAUUUUUUAAAAUAUAAUUUUCAAAAAUUCUAAUUUAGGAAAGUUUUCAUUUUUAAAUAUAAUUUUCAAAAAUUCUAUUUUAGGAAAGUUUUCAUUUUUUCAUAUAAAUAUUGUAGAUUUGGGGUUGUGAUUUAGAAAUUAGGAUAACAAUAAUUUUUGUUGAUAGAUGAGUAUUCUUUUAAACUUUUUUGAUCAAUAGUUGUAUUUUUUAAAUAUAAUUUUCAAAAAUUCUAUUUUAGGAAAGUUUUCAUUUUUUUCAUUGAAAUAUUGUAGAUUUGAGGUUGUGGUUUAUAAAUUAGGAUAUCAAUAAUUUUUGAUGAUAGAUGAGUAUUCUUUUAAAUUUUUUUGAUCUAUAGAUGUAUUUUUUAAAUAUAAUUUUCGAAGAUUCUAUUUGAGGAAAGUUUUCGUUUUUUCAUAGAAAUAUUGUAGAUUUGGGGUUGUGGUUUAGAAAUUAGGAUAACAAUAAUUUUUGUUGAUAGAUGACUAUUCUUUUAAAUUUUUUUGAUCUGUAGUUGUAUUUUUUAAAUAUAAUUUUUAAAAAUUCUAUUUUAGGAAAGUUUUCAUUUUUUCAUAGAAAUAUUGUAGAUUUGGGGUUGUGAUUUAGAAAUUUUGAUAACAAUAAUUUUUGUUGAUAGAUGAGUAUUAUUUCAGAUUUUUUUGAUCAAUAGUUGUAUUUUUUAAAUAUAAUUCUCAAAAAUUCUAUUU